GCCAUAUAGAGUUUUCUUGGACGUUGUUUGAUCUAGCUCAAGUGAGAAAAUUCUUUAGUUUCCUGUGAAGUGGUUUAAAAUUUAAUGAACAGAUUAAGGAUUUUCUUAGUAUCAUAUAUUAGGACCUAGUCAACUAACUUUAAAUUGUAGUUUUACUAUACUAAAAUAUUUUAUUUCUUUCUGCUGUUCAAUCCCUAUUUUAUAAAAACAUUUAUAGAAAGCAAAUUCCAGUACUCCUGGUAAGAAAAACAGAGGCCUUUUAACAAGUACUCCAUCUUCAGAGACAGCUGGUUUUGUGUUUCCUGCAAAUGCAUCAGAAAUAUGCUGUAUUAUUAGAGCAUCACCAGGAGGAGCUAGACAAGUAAAAAAUAAAGGUGUUAUUGUAAAGAAGAAGAAAUAUUCUCUUCCUAAGGAUAUCCCUCAAGAUAUCAUAAUAAAAAUGGCAUGAAAAAACAGCUGUGGCUGAAUUUUCACUACUUUGAAGACAGGAAUGUGAAGUCAGUCUAUAAAGCAGAAUGUCUGCCUGAAAUUAUAUGAAAUUAAUAAUAAAAAAUUCUCCAG
This 561-nucleotide long non-coding RNA is filed under the name Rhinopithecus bieti (black snub-nosed monkey). RNAcentral's name for it is "lncRNA (ENSRBIG00000046623.1)". Lineage: Eukaryota; Metazoa; Chordata; Mammalia; Primates; Cercopithecidae. The record is from RNAcentral.